UGUAUGCUGCGGUCCCCGACAGCCUCCGGCAGCUCUGAGAGCCCGGAGGAGCCGCCUGCUCCGGAGCCGAGGGCCGACCCCAGCGGAGACACUCGGGACACUGGAGCCUCGUCUGAAAACCCCCCGCCUGCUAAACCUGCCAGGUCUGACCCGGGAACAAUGCCUAAGUGGCUCAAGCUUCCAGGUAAGAAAUGAGACGGCUGCUGUGUGUUGAAGGAGGACGUCUCUGGAGCUGCGUGCAGACUGAAGAGAGCACUUAAACCUUUUUGCUGCGCUUUGAUAAAGGCUCGACUUUGUAUCCACACAUCCCUUGUGGAAGAAGCCUGCACAUGCCUAGGUUUUUAAGCAGUCAAAUAAUGAGAUCAAUUAGUGAAAGGUGUUUUUCAUUGCAGAGGAUUGUUGUGUUUCAUUCCAGUUGAUCUCUGAGCAGAGUGCCGAAGGUGUUGUGCAAAGUGAAUAAAGAUUGUUGUACUUA
Long non-coding RNA from Notothenia coriiceps (black rockcod), 475 nucleotides. RefSeq lists it as uncharacterized. The record is from RefSeq and is a predicted model, not a curated record. The transcript has 2 exons. NCBI's taxonomy places the organism in Eukaryota, Metazoa, Chordata, Actinopteri, Perciformes, Nototheniidae.